GGGGAGAAGCAGCCAGGCCAGUGGUUUUGAUGUGGAAAUGUCUGAACUGCAGAACAAGCCUCCUUUCAACUCCCAAUUAACAUGGGAGCCUCCCCAGCCAGGCAGAGCUGGGUUGGCAGGAGCUGCAGCAGACCUGGGCAGCCAACGUCAGGGACUCUCCUCAGUUUUCUCAUUGCUGACAAUGAUGAGGGGGCCACGCACGGGGAA
Molecule: long non-coding RNA, 207 nt
Filed under: Homo sapiens (human)
Lineage: Eukaryota; Metazoa; Chordata; Mammalia; Primates; Hominidae
Description: HSALNT0004118
Source: RNAcentral